CUGCCAUUUGUCAUUCAGCUGCAUGGCAUCAGCAAAGAGGAAGUAAACAGCCAAAAGGAACUCCAGCAGAGGUACCGUGAGGAAGGCAGAUGCCGAGGACACCACGUAGCAGAUGAAGAACGAUGAUAUGCAUGCCGAAGUGGUUGAAGCUGAAGUGCACUGAUGUCUGCAACAGAAUUUGAAUGUCUGAAAACACAAGGGAGGUUGACGGACACAGAUAAUAAAGGAGGCUGAGCAGUGUUAACCAAGGUGGGGCUGGCUACACUAAUCUACAGAAGCCUGGUCCACAGGGUUGUAGGGUGGAGGAUGCCAAGGUCACGGGUGAGUCCUGCAGACUUGGAGCGUGGCGGGGAAACAAGAUGAAGAUGCUAGGGCUGAGCGUUUCAAGCCCAGUUCUCGCGGAUUCGAAGACGUCUAGACUUCUCUGCUCCUCAACGCCACUCAUGUGCCACCCAGUUAAUGUGGUAUCACAUCUGUACUUAGGGCAUUAAAGGCCUCCAUCUUCUA
Long non-coding RNA from Myodes glareolus (Bank vole), 507 nucleotides. RefSeq lists it as uncharacterized. Lineage: Eukaryota; Metazoa; Chordata; Mammalia; Rodentia; Cricetidae. The record is from RefSeq and is a predicted model, not a curated record.